Molecule: long non-coding RNA, 2440 nt
Filed under: Canis lupus familiaris (dog)
Lineage: Eukaryota; Metazoa; Chordata; Mammalia; Carnivora; Canidae
Description: lncRNA (ENSCAFG00000053964.1)
Source: RNAcentral
AUGACCCUGAUAUCACAGUUGCCUCCAUCAGAAGAGACCCUAACCCUAGGGCUGUUGGAACAAGAGGAUCAAGGGAACACAUUUCAGAUUCCUGUCUCCUAUGUUCUCUGGAGGCCCAGGAGGACAUCUCAUCGAGUUGUCUCAUCAGCUGGACUCUCAUGGCUCUGGACCCAGAGUUUUAAAGACCAGGAUAUAGAGCAUAUCUCCCUGAGACUUACUUCAGUUAAACAGGAAAAUCCUCAGGGAGCUGCAGCCCUGGGAAAUAAUUGAUGUUAUGACUCAGAAUUUAUCAUAGAUCUAUAAUUUUUGAACAGUAGGAAAGUUCUUUUCAGGUUGUAUUCAGCCUUAAAAGUUGCUCUUUGCUGGCCAGUGAAGGAGGAGGUUUCAAAACCUUUCACAGACUGCAAAGUUCAGAGAGAGUUGAAGUUCAGAGAGAUUGAGAAUUUUUUUUGCAAUUAAUAUAAAAAUUUCAGAGAUUAAGGAAAUGACCAAUUUGCAACAGAUUGAUAUCUGAGUGAAAAUACAAGAGGACUGGCAAAAGAUAGAAAAUCAGCAUGGCAAUCUCCAAGAAAGAACACGGACAGAGAUAUUUUACUGUUUCUUAGGAGGAAGGGAUUGGAUUUAACAUCAAAAUCACACCGUGUAUUUUAUGUUGAAAGGUCCAGAACUGGAUCCCCGGUAGGAGCUUAUGUUCUAGAUAAACUGAAACUUUUGGAAUGCCUAGUGGACCACGGGCAAACUUCAAGCUGUCAUUCACAUGGAAGAUCAAGGACCCUCAUGGCAUGGAAAGUUGUUUUCAGGAGGACCACUAGACCCUGGAUCUGAAAAUCCCUAAAUCAGAGGAAAACAAAACACACUCUUAGCACCCUCCUCCUAUGUGGCCCAGGCAUCAUACAAGAUGGGGCAAAAUUCCCAAGCAAUACAGAAACGUUGAGGUCAGAGCUCACUCAGGCAUAAAAAUUCAAUGGCUAAUGCCAGAUGGGCUGCCAAACCGGUCCUGGCUGGACCAGUUCCAUCCAUAGGGAGGGAAAGCUGUGAGACAAAGAGCAAAUGAUAAUAACAAUAAUAAUAAGGAAACACAGGAACAAACGAAAAAAAGUCUAACGGCCUAAGAUAGCACAGUUGUGAAGACUUCAAGAAUACUUUGGAGGAGGGGUACCUGGCUGGCUUGGUCGGAAGAGCAUGUGACUCUUGAUCUUGGGGUGGUGAGUUUGAGCUCCACGUUGGAUGUAGAGAUUACUUAAUAAAUAAAUAAAUAUAUAUAUAUAUAUUAAAAAACAACACUUUGGAAAGAAUACCUUCCCUUUCACUUCAGAAAGAGAAGUUUGCUAUGGAAAAGAAGACAGUGAUGACCCAUUGCAGAUCAAGAGAGAAUUUGUAACAAAGCCCCCAGUAGGGGAAAAUGAGGCCCCAUGGGCUCCGCAGGGGACUUCUAUGAUGGUGAAGGGGGGGACUUCUUCCUCUGGCCUGCAAUAUGAUGGGCAGUCACAGGGAACAUGCUGGGUCCUUCACAGCCACUUGUGUGGCAUGCUGUAGGUCUGCCCUGGGAUCAAAGAGGCAAUUGGCAAGGGGUGAAGAUCCCAGAGCUCUAUCUGGGGACCAGCUAGGGAGUUACUCUUAUUUCUCCUAGAAAGACUGAACAGUGGUGUGGUCUGGGCAAACACCUUUUCAGCUAGGGCUUUGCUUACUCUCAAAUGGCAUAUUCUGUUUACACUCAUAAAUUAUAUAAAAUAAUUUAUUCAUGUACAUCUUUGCUCGAUGUAUCCAAUUGAGCAUUUCUGUGAGCUUUCUAGUGCCACAUUCAAAAGGGAGCGUCGGGAAGAUAAAGUAGAAUCACCUUUAGGAAGGCAAUUUAACAAUAUGCAACUCAUGAAUAUUAAAGGAUUUUUACUCUUUGUCGGGUAAUUCCAGUUUUGGGAAACAUCCUAAAGAAAUGAUACUAAAUGCAGAGAUAAAUGCACAAAGAUGUUUAUUAUCAUGUUCCUUACAAAAGUCAAAAACUUCUAUCAGUCUAAAUGCUUGAAAAUUGCAGAUUGGUGAAGUGAAUUAUGAAAAUCCACAUUAUGAAUGCAAUAGAAUUAUUAAAACGAUGGUGGUAAAGAGGUUUUUGUAUCAUUAGAAUAUGUCUAUGAUAUAAUUUUAAGAAGGAAAAAACAAGCUAGUGAGUUUUAACAUAUCAUAUAAAUUCUCAACUAUAUAAAUAAUAUGCAUUAUGUAUAGGAAUAAGAAAUAGAUGAUUGGGGCACCUGGGUGGCUCAGUUGGUUAAGCGUCUGCUUUUACCUCAGGUCAUGAUCUCAGGGUGCUGGGAUAGAGCCCUGCAUCAGGGUCCCUGCUCAGCAAGAAGCUUGCUUCUCCUUCUCUGCUCCCCUUGCUUGUAUGUUCUCUCUCUGUCAAGUAAAUAAAUAAAAUCUUUUAAACAAAGAAAGAAAAAGAUGGUCA